ACACAUGCAAGUCGAACGAGAAUCUACUGAAAGAGUUUUCGGACAAUGGAUGUAGAGGAAAGUGGCGGACGGGUGAGUAACGCGUGAGGAACCUGCCUUGAAGAGGGGGACAACAGUUGGAAACGACUGCUAAUACCGCAUAACGCAUAGGGGUCGCAUGAUCUUUAUGCCAAAGAUUUAUUGCUUCAAGAUGGCCUCGCGUCUGAUUAGCUAGUUGGCGGGGUAACGGCCCACCAAGGCGACGAUCAGUAGCCGGACUGAGAGGUUGAACGGCCACAUUGGGACUGAGAUACGGCCCAGACUCCUACGGGAGGCAGCAGUGGGGAAUAUUGGGCAAUGGGCGCAAGCCUGACCCAGCAACGCCGCGUGAAGGAAGAAGGCUUUCGGGUUGUAAACUUCUUUUAAGAGGGAAGAGUAGAAGACGGUACCUCUAGAAUAAGCCACGGCUAACUACGUGCCAGCAGCCGCGGUAAUACGUAGGUGGCAAGCGUUGUCCGGAUUUACUGGGUGUAAAGGGCGUGCAGCCGGGUCUGCAAGUCAGAUGUGAAAUCCAUGGGCUCAACCCAUGAACUGCAUUUGAAACUGUAGAUCUUGAGUGUCGGAGGGGCAAUCGGAAUUCCUAGUGUAGCGGUGAAAUGCGUAGAUAUUAGGAGGAACACCAGUGGCGAAGGCGGAUUGCUGGACGAUAACUGACGGUGAGGCGCGAAAGUGUGGGGAGCAAACAGGAUUAGAUACCCUGGUAGUCCACACUGUAAACGAUGAAUACUAGGUGUGCGGGGACUGACCCCCUGCGUGCCGCA
This 800-nucleotide ribosomal RNA is filed under the name uncultured bacterium. RNAcentral's name for it is "bacterial SSU rRNA". It matches the Rfam family "Bacterial small subunit ribosomal RNA", at positions 51 to 850 of the family's 1533-position model. The record is from RNAcentral.